This 255-nucleotide ribosomal RNA is filed under the name uncultured bacterium. Its description in RNAcentral is "partial 16S ribosomal RNA". It matches the Rfam family "Bacterial small subunit ribosomal RNA", at positions 524 to 777 of the family's 1533-position model. The record is from RNAcentral.
UACGAAGGGGGGCUAGCGUUGUUCGGAUUUACUGGGCGUAAAGCGCACGUAGGCGGAUUGUUAAGUGAGGGGUGAAAUCCCAGGGCUCAACCCUGGAACUGCCUUUCAUACUGGCAAUCUUGAGUCCGGAAGAGGUGAGUGGAACUCCUAGUGUAGAGGUGGAAUUCGUAGAUAUUAGGAAGAACACCAGUGGCGAAGGCGGCUCACUGGUCCGGUACUGACGCUGAGGUGCGAAAGCGUGGGGAGCAAACAGGG